UACGUAGGGGGCAAGCGUUGUCCGGAAUCAUUGGGCGUAAAGCGUGUGUAGGCGGGCCCCGUAAGUGUCUUGUGAAAUCCCACGGCUCAACCGUGGAACUGCUGGGCAUACUGCGGGUCUUGGGCCAACUAGGGGCAGCCGGAACAAGCGGUGGAGCGGUGAAAUGCGUAGAUAUCGCUUGGAACGCCGAAGGUGAAAACAGGCUGCUGGGGUUGCGCCGACGGCUGAGACACGAAAGCCAGGGGAGCAAACGGG
Molecule: ribosomal RNA, 255 nt
Filed under: uncultured bacterium
Lineage: Bacteria
Description: partial 16S ribosomal RNA
Rfam family: Bacterial small subunit ribosomal RNA
Source: RNAcentral